UGGAAGUAAAAGUCGUAACAAGGUCUCCGUAGGUGAACCUGCGGAGGGAUCAUUACACAAUAUGAAGGCGGGCUGGACACCCUCCAGCCGGGCACUGCUUCACGGCGUGCGCGGCUGGAGCCGGCCCUGCUGAAUUAUUCACCCGUGUCUUUUGCGUACUUCUUGUUUCCUGGGUGGGCUCGCCCGCCAUCAGGACCAACCAUAAACCUUUUUGUAAUAGCAAUCAGCGUCAGUAACAACGUAAUUAAUUACAACUUUCAACAACGGAUCUCUUGGUUCUGGCAUCGAUGAAGAACGCAGCGAAAUGCGAUACGUAGUGUGAAUUGCAGAAUUCAGUGAAUCAUCGAAUCUUUGAACGCACAUUGCGCCCUUUGGUAUUCCAAAGGGCAUGCCUGUUCGAGCGUCAUUUGUACCCUCAAGCUUUGCUUGGUGUUGGGCGUCUUUUGUCUCCAGCUCGCUGGAGACUCGCCUUAAAGUCAUUGGCAGCCGGCCUACUGGUUUCGGAGCGCAGCACAAGUCGCGCUCUUGCCCAGCCAAGGUCAGCGUCCAGCAAGCCUUUUUUCAACCUUUGACCUCGGAUCAGGUAGGGAUACCCGCUGAACUUAAGCAUAUCAAUAAGCGGAGGAA
Molecule: unclassified non-coding RNA, 627 nt
Filed under: Alternaria kordkuyana
Lineage: Eukaryota; Fungi; Ascomycota; Dothideomycetes; Pleosporales; Pleosporaceae
Description: sequence contains 18S rRNA gene, ITS1, 5.8S rRNA gene, ITS2, 28S rRNA gene
Rfam family: 5.8S ribosomal RNA (bases 253-406)
Source: RNAcentral